RNAcentral lists this ribosomal RNA (472 nucleotides) under uncultured bacterium. RNAcentral describes it as "bacterial SSU rRNA". It matches the Rfam family "Bacterial small subunit ribosomal RNA", at positions 30 to 507 of the family's 1533-position model. The record is from RNAcentral.
AUUGAACGCUGGCGGCAGGCUUAACACAUGCAAGUCGAGCGGAGACUUCGGUCUUAGCGGCGAACGGGUGAGUAAUACCUAGGAAUCUGCCUAUUAGUGGGGGAUAACGAAUCGAAAGGUUCGCUAAUACCGCAUACGUCCUACGGGAGAAAGGGGGGGAUCGCAAGACCUCUCGCUAUUGGAGCGGCCGACAUCAGAUUAGGUAGUUGGUGGGGUAAAAGCCUACCAAGCCUUCGAUCUGUAGCUGGUCUGAGAGGACGACCAGCCACACUGGAACUGAGACACGGUCCAGACUCCUACGGGAGGCAGCAGUGGGGAAUUUUGGACAAUGGGCGCAAGCCUGAUCCAGCCAUGCCGCGUGAGUGAAGAAGGCCUUCGGGUUGUAAAGCUCUUUCGGCCGGGAAGAAAUCGCACGGGUUAAUACCCUGUGUGGAUGACGGUACCGGAAUAAGAAGCACCGGCUAACUACGUG